This 1355-nucleotide long non-coding RNA is filed under the name Coturnix japonica (Japanese quail). RNAcentral describes it as "lncRNA (ENSCJPG00005013228.1)". Lineage: Eukaryota; Metazoa; Chordata; Aves; Galliformes; Phasianidae. The record is from RNAcentral.
GCAAGGGAGGGUGACUGUGCUGGGACAGCUGUUUUCUAUGCCUUUUAAACACAAAGGAAAUGCUGCAAGCUUUAAAGCACCCCCACUGUGGGAAUUUCAUCAAGGUCCUGUAAUCCAGUCAUUAACGGAUUACAUUACUGGGGUUAGAAGCUGUAUCACUGAUUCUCACUGUGAGGACUCAUCCUGCUAUUCCUUGGAAAUCACAGGAGAUGCCAGUGCCUGGGCAGCUGAGAAGGAUGUAAAUCUUCAGCAUAGCUUUAACAUGAAAAUCUCAGUGGCUUGUCCUGGUACUGUCUUUUCUACAAGAAGAUCUCUGCUGAAAGACAGCCAUGGGAAUCUGACCUUGCUGUUCUGACAUUUGUGUUCAUAGCAGGUAGUGCAGGGAUGCCUACGAUGCCUUUGAACCUUUAAUCUAAUUUGGAGGGUUUAGAGAUAUGUGCAUUUGAUAUUGACUUCCAGAGACAUAACAGCAGAGCCAGAGUGGAAGAGAGAGCCUGCAGAGAUGUUGCCAGUGGCCAACAUUUUGAGAACACGUGGUGAGGAAGAUGGGAUUAGCAUUUGUCAUUAGGAAGGAGGGAUUCAGAUGUUCUACUGAGCUUGUUUGCUUGUUCUCCCCCUUUGCACCCAGAAGUCAUCUCUGCUCCUCUUGACAUGAGACAUUUUAGCACAUGCACAAAGGAGGACCUAAAUUUGAGCAUAGAAAGCAGCCCAAUGUGUAUGAUUUCCAAAGAUCUAGUUUCUGCCUGGCUUCCCCUUCUGCCCUAUAGUUUGAGCUCCAAGAGGAUGUCAUCUCUGCAAAGCUAAGUGCAAGAUGAAAUGUUUGGAGCCCUGUGACUUCUUGUUCUCUAUGCCCACUAUCAGCAGCAGUUCAGCUCACCCACUUUUUGCCAUCCAAAGCUGACAUCUUGUGCAAGAGGGCUUUCUCAGACAGCACAGAAACCCUGGCCUGUAGCAGAAAAGUCAUACAAGUGAAGAUGAGAAAACCCCUGGAGAGCCUCAGUGUAGGGCCCUGCAGAGCCCCCUUUGACCACCAGAGGUCAGAAGCAAAACAUCGCAUCUCCACCACUGAACCCUCAUUUCCUCUGUCGCUGUCCUGGAGAGGGAGAAGCAAAGGAAUCAGCAGAAAUGCCGCUUCAUUCACAGAGAGGAUGGAGACAGUAACACGAAGGACCGCAGGCGAUGGAGGCGGAAGGUGGCAAGGAACGCAGACAGAACCUAAAAGCCUCAUCAAAACCUGUGUGGAUAUUCAAAAAAAAAAAAAAAAAGAAAAGAAAAGAAAAAAAGAAAAAAAAGGCAUUUGCAACUUUCCUGCAAUAGUGCUUUUAUUCUUUGCAAACACAUUUCUGGAACACUAA